This 432-nucleotide ribosomal RNA is filed under the name uncultured bacterium. RNAcentral's name for it is "partial 16S ribosomal RNA". It matches the Rfam family "Bacterial small subunit ribosomal RNA", at positions 29 to 507 of the family's 1533-position model. The record is from RNAcentral.
ACGAACGCUGGCGGCAUGCCUAACACAUGCCAGUCGAACGAGACCUUCGGGUCUAGUGGCGCACGGGUGCGUAACGCGUGGGAACCUGCCCUUAGGUUCGGAAUAACUCCCCGAAAGGGGUGCUAAUACCGGAUAAUGUCUUCGGACCAAAGAUUUAUCGCCUUUGGAUGGGCCCGCGUUGGAUUAGCUAGUUGGUAGGGUAAAAGCCUACCAAGGCGACGAUCCAUAGCUGGUCUGAGAGGAUGAUCGGCCACACUGGGACUGAGACACGGCCCAGACUCCUACGGGAGGCAGCAGUGGGGAAUAUUGGACAAUGGGCGAAAGCCUGAUCCAGCAAUGCCGCGUGAGUGAUGAAGGCCUUAGGGUUGUAAAGCUCUUUUACCCGGGAUGAUAAUGACAGUACCGGGAGAAUAAGCUCCGGCUAACUCCGUG